RNAcentral lists this ribosomal RNA (242 nucleotides) under uncultured bacterium. Its description in RNAcentral is "partial 16S ribosomal RNA". It matches the Rfam family "Bacterial small subunit ribosomal RNA", at positions 535 to 776 of the family's 1533-position model. The record is from RNAcentral.
CAACCGUUGUUCGGAUUCAUUGGGCGUAAAGGGUGCGUAGGCGGCGGGGUAAGUCAGGUGUGAAAUCUCGGGGCUCAACCCCGAAACUGCACUUGAUACUGCCUCGCUUGAGUACUGGAGAGGAGACUGGAAUUUACGGUGUAGCAGUGAAAUGCGUAGAUAUCGUAAGGAAGACCAGUGGCGAGGGCGAGUCUCUGGACAGUUACUGACGCUGAGGCACGAAGGCCAGGGGAGCAAACGGG